GAUGAAGAACGCAGCGAAAUGCGAUAAGUAAUGUGAAUUGCAGAAUCCAGUGAAUCAUCGAAUCUCUGAACGCACAUUGCGCCCGCCAGUAUUCUGGCGGGCAUGCCUGUCCGAGCGUCAUUUCAACCAUCAAGCCCCAGGCUUGUGUUGGGGACCUGCGUCCGACGCAGGCCCUGAAAACCAGUGGCGGGCUCGCUGUCCACACCGAGCGUAGUAACUAACCUCGCUACGGGAGCGGCGCGGGCGCCUGCCGUAAAACCCCCAAUUUUCACAAGGUUGACCUCGGAUCAGGUAGGAAUACCCGCUGAACUUAAGCAUAUCAAUAAGCGGAGGA
Molecule: unclassified non-coding RNA, 334 nt
Filed under: soil metagenome
Description: partial contains 5.8S ribosomal RNA, internal transcribed spacer 2, and large subunit ribosomal RNA
Rfam family: 5.8S ribosomal RNA (bases 1-120)
Source: RNAcentral